RNAcentral lists this ribosomal RNA (427 nucleotides) under uncultured bacterium. RNAcentral describes it as "partial 16S ribosomal RNA". It matches the Rfam family "Bacterial small subunit ribosomal RNA", at positions 355 to 774 of the family's 1533-position model. The record is from RNAcentral.
UGGGGAAUAUUGCACAAUGGGCGCAAGCCUGAUGCAGCCAUGCCGCGUGUAUGAAGAAGGCCUUCGGGUUGUAAAGUACUUUCAGCGAGGAGGAAGGCGUUGUGGUUAAUAACCGCAACGAUUGACGUUACUCGCAGAAGAAGCACCGGCUAACUCCGUGCCAGCAGCCGCGGUAAUACGGAGGGUGCAAGCGUUAAUCGGAAUUACUGGGCGUAAAGCGCACGCAGGCGGUCUGUCUAGUCGGAUGUGAAAUCCCCGGGCUCAACCUGGGAACUGCAUCCGAAACUGGCAGGCUAGAGUCUUGUAGAGGGGGGUAGAAUUCCAGGUGUAGCGGUGAAAUGCGUAGAGAUCUGGAGGAAUACCGGUGGCGAAGGCGGCCCCCUGGACAAAGACUGACGCUCAGGUGCGAAAGCGUGGGGAGCAAACA